RNAcentral lists this ribosomal RNA (406 nucleotides) under uncultured bacterium. RNAcentral describes it as "partial 16S ribosomal RNA". It matches the Rfam family "Bacterial small subunit ribosomal RNA", at positions 30 to 526 of the family's 1533-position model. The record is from RNAcentral.
AUUGAACGCUGGCGGCAGGCCUAACACAUGCAAGUCGAACGAGUGGCGGACGGGUGAGUAAUGUCUGGGAAACUGCCCGAUGGAGGGGGAUAACUACUGGAAACGGUAGCUAAUACCGCAUACCAUCAGAUGAACCCAUAUGGGAUUAGCUGGUAGGUAAGGUAACGGCUUACCUAGGCGACGAUCCCUCACUGGUCUGAGAGGAUGAUCAGCCACACUGGUACUGAGACACGGCCCAGACACCUACGGGAGGCAGCAGUGGGGAAUAUUGCACAAUGGGCGCAAGCCUGAGACAGCCAUGCCGCGUGUAUGAAGAAGGCCUUCGGGUUGUAAAGUACUUUCAGUCGGGAGGCGUUACCGACAGAAGAAGCACCGGCUAACUCCGUGCCAGCAGCCGCGGUAAUUC